This 253-nucleotide ribosomal RNA is filed under the name uncultured bacterium. RNAcentral's name for it is "partial 16S ribosomal RNA". It matches the Rfam family "Bacterial small subunit ribosomal RNA", at positions 524 to 776 of the family's 1533-position model. The record is from RNAcentral.
UACAGGGGGGGCAAGCGUUGUUCGGAAUUACUGGGCGUAAAGGGCUCGUAGGUGGCCAACUAAGUCAGACGUGAAAUCCCCAGGCUUAACCUGGGAACUGCGUCUGAUACUGGAUGGCUUGAAUUCGGGAGAGGGAUGCAGAAUUCCAGGUGUAGCGGUGAAAUGCGUAGAUAUCUGGAGGAAUACCGGUGGCGAAGGCGGCAUCCUGGACCGAGAUUGACACUGAUGAGCGAAAGCCAGGGGAGCAAACGGG